CCUACGGGAGGCUGCAGUGAGGAAUAUUGGUCAAUGGGCGCAAGCCUGAACCAGCCAAGUAGCGUGAAGGAUGACUGCCCUACGGGUUGUAAACUUCUUUUAUAAAGGAGUAAAGUGAGGCACGUGUGCCUUUUUGUAUGUACUUUAUGAAUAAGGCUCGGCUAACUCCGUGCCAGCAGCCGCGGUAAUACGGAGGAACCGAGCGUUAUCCGGAUUUAUUGGGUUUAAAGGGAGCGUAGAUGGGUUUUUAAGUCAGUUGUGAAAGUUUGCGGCUCAACCGUAAAAUUGCAAUUGAAACUGGCAGCCUUGAGUACAGUUGAGGUAGGCGGAAUUCGUGGUGUAGCGGUGAAAUGCUUAGAUAUCACGAAGAACUCCGAUUGCGAAGGCAGCUUACCAAUCUAUAUCUGACGUUGAGGCACGAAAGCGUGGGGAGCAAACAGGAUUAGAUACCCCAGUAGUC
Molecule: ribosomal RNA, 460 nt
Filed under: uncultured bacterium
Lineage: Bacteria
Description: partial 16S ribosomal RNA
Rfam family: Bacterial small subunit ribosomal RNA
Source: RNAcentral